RNAcentral lists this small RNA (167 nucleotides) under bovine gut metagenome. RNAcentral's name for it is "Bacteroidales-1 6S-Bacteroidales RNA suggested". It matches the Rfam family "Bacteroidales-1 6S-Bacteroidales RNA suggested". RNAcentral also lists the same sequence under 1 other name. The record is from RNAcentral.
UAUAGGAUCGAUUGGGAUACUCAUCAAUUAAAUCUGGAAAACCGAGAACGUUCUGUGUUCUAAUGGCGGGCCACGCCCCGAAAGGGGUAACCUCGAGUCGGUGGAUUACAAAGGAACAUGGGCACUCAAAUCUUACUUACUCGGAGUUUCAUCACAUCUCCUCCCCG